UUUCCGCAACUCUUUCUAUAUCAUGAACUCUCUCGAUACAAAAGCAGCCGGCGAGAGAUAACAAGACAAUACAUGUCAACUUAAACAUGAACGUCAAGAAAUACUCAUAAUACACGAAGCCCUCGUAAGGCAAAACAAGCAACAUCAUCUCGACAUCGUUCAUUAACACGAAAACCACUUGAAAGAAAGACCUCAAUCCCUCAUUAAUCAUGAGGCCCUCCCAAGCCAAGCCCUUUUAAAUGACAACAACCCCUCUCUUUCUCUAUAGUUCACUCCAAACCCCCAAAAAAACAAUUUACUUCCUCCUCUUUCUCCUCUGUUCCUGUCCUUGUCUCUCCCUCUCUCGAAAACCAAGAAGAUAACUCGCCACUCCCAAUGUCUCGCCACAGAAGGCAAGCAUCUCAAGUCCUCCCACCUGAGAUUCUCGCCGGAGAGGAUCUUAUCAUUGACUCCGUCAUCGGUGGUCAGCAGCAGGUAGCCGACGAGAAACCCACCAAUAAGCCUCCCAAGAUCAGGAAGCAGCAGCAGCAGCAGCAGAAGAAGAAUAAGGAAGAGAAUGAAGAAUCCUCAGCUUCCCCAGCAGCUUCACCAGCCACCCACAACAACAAGUAGCUAGAUCCAUUUUGUCUUGCUCUGUUUUUUCUAUUUUAAGUUCAAUGUAUUGUUGCUCUCUCCCUUCUUAGUUUUCUAGUUUCUUAACUUUUGUGAGUUGGUUGGUGUAACUCUGUUCUUAUCCUAAUCCAGUUGGUAGUUCGACUUUGGUUCCCAAAACUUUCUUACAGCCGUCAAAACACAAACACACCAUGAGAUGACUAACACAAAGAGUGCAUGUACUACAAUUUGUUCUGCAGAUUUGCUCACCAACUUGCUGUACAUUCAUGUGCAACUUUUCAUUGAGUCAAUCAUUUAGCAGUUAUGAAAACUUGUCUUUCUGGGCAAGGGAUCAAGGUUGUUGUAAUGCAGGUCGAGUGCAAACAAUUAUAUGAGUUCACUCACUGUGUGGAUAAAUUGUUUGUCUGUAACUAACCAGAACUAGCAAUUGAAGUGAAAGUGACUUGUGUACGUACAGGUGGAUUCAAUUAUUGUACUCCCCAUAUUCAUUCAUCCAAAAAGAAAAUUACAGUGCUACAUUCUUAUCUCUUUAGGUGAAGUUACUGUGCAUUGACGAUUCGUAUUUGAUUCAUCUGAAAUCAACUAAACUAGUUUCACUGUGUUUUGUAACAAAAAUUAAUAAAUGGAUACUCUUCGUUUUCUAGAAGAUUUAGUAUGUCGAAUCUUUCGAUUUAUCACUAACAAUAAUUGAACUAUCAACGUUUAUUUGUUAAUUAUUUAACGUUACAUACAACUAAAUCGAUAUAAAACCACAGUUAAACCAUCAAAGUUUCUUCCACUAACCUUUCUAGUAUUGAAUUUUUUGUAAAAAAUCUCCCCUACUUUUUUUUUUUUUUUUUUUUUUAAAAAAAGUCGCCCUGCUCAUUUGAAAGUAUUAGAUUGCUCUUUUAUUAAUUAAUUUUAGUGAUAAAUAAGUUUCUUAAUUUUGGGAUUUCUAUGAAUUAAUUUUGACUUUUUAAUUUAUGAUGAUUUCCAAUUUUGAAAAGGACAAUUAUGGUAAUUAAGAAAUUAAUUUAAGGUCCGGAGGAGUAUGGUGACUUAUCAAACAAGGUAAAUAUUUAUCUUCAUCCACAUUUAAAGAUCUAGAGAAUUUAGAAAUAAAGGAAAUUUUGGUAAUAAUUUAGGAAUUUGAUAAAGGUAAAUUUGGGUAAUAAUUAGGAAUUUUAUUAAGCCAAUUUCGGUAAAAAAAGAUGUCAUCUCCUUUUCCAUUGGCGUGGUGCAAACGGGCAACAGACUCGCUAAGCGAGGAGGUGCAAACCGACAUCAUACCCGUUUUUGACAUUUGGACCUCGCCAAUGAUGAGUUCGACGUCCAUAAGAACGAAAGUGGGAUGAGUGUUGUGUUUUUGUUGAGUUAAUUAUAUUGAAAUAUUAUAACAAUAAAAAUAUUUCAGUCAUACUAAAAUGUCAGGGUAAUAUAAUUUUGAAUUCUAAAAGUAUCUUCAUCCCAAAAAUUUAACAAUAUCUAAAAUAAGGUGGAAGAUAAUAUGAUAUUCUUUAAGCAAUUGUUACGCUGUAACCAAAUUUUUAAAUUAAAAAAUUUAUUUGCAAUGUGACAUAGACAUUCUAAGCAAGAUAUUUAAACAAAAUUUAUUUUAUAAGAAAUAAUUAAUAAAACAGAAAAUUAGAAAUGGAGGUAAUAAUAAUAAAAAUUGAUAAAAAAUUAGUGGGAUAUAGAUGUUUAAAAAUUAUAAAAAUUGUGGAUGUAAAAAUUGCUAAAUCAUUAGGGAAUGAAAAAGAUGGCCCAAGCUGACCAAUAAACUUUGGGAACAUAAUAUAUUAAUGAAAAACACGAGGAAAAUUAAAAAUAAAUUUUGGGUACUAUCUUUUGGAGUUGAGAGAAGAUGAAGGUCAAAGAUUAGGUUAACAUCACGUGAUUUUAAAUUUAACGAAUCAAUGCUGGGAAAGAAUCUGGAGAUAAAUUUUAGGGGCUGAGCAAGGUGGUUUGAUUGGGUUUUUUAGGAAAGGGUUUCACAUUAAUUAACAAGUGUCAUUAUUGUUCUUGAGGGUCAUUCACUAGCUUUUAUUCAACCUUUUAAACACUGGUUUAACCUAAAAAAGAGUUUCAAAGAUGGUUUCUAACGAUAAAAAUAGUAAAGUUAUUAUUUUGGGUUGGGAAACACUUGAAAGUCACUAUUUUGGAUCGAUUCGGAUUUUCUUGUAGCUACGUUAUUUUUAGUAAACAAAUGCUUCGUAGCUGUUGAUGUGCUCUAUUUUCGACACACCUUUUCUCGUUAUAAACUAUAUUUUUGUGUGUCAAAAUGUAUUCAAAUUUGGGUUUUGAGUACAUGUUUGGUUCUCUUGCCCCAAGGCCGUGUUAUGGUGGUUGAUAUUUUUUGGUACAUUUCAGGUGUCAUAUGAUGUUUAGAGAUGAACCAAAACAUGAUGGGGAGACUGGAACAACUUGAGAGGUGCGAUUUGGGAAGAAAACAUCACUGUUUAGUAUUUUGAGCAUAACUCAUCGCUCGGAAGUCCAAUUGAUGCAAGGUCAGCGACAUUGGAAAGAUAAUUCGAUUGUAUACAACUUUUAUGCUGAUAUCAUAGUUAAAUUACACAUAAUUAAGGAACACGGUGUGUCCCUCCUCUGGAAUUGCCCGAGAAAUUUACAGGGGCGGAACACGGCGUGUCCCACCCCAGCCGGGUUUUCAAGUCCUCCUCCUUCUCCAACUUGGCCCAGAAGUCUAUAAAUACCCCCGAGACCCCCUAUAAACGGGAUAUACUUCAUUAUACACAUAUUUUUGAGCUCUUAGAGAGAGCUAGAGUUCCAGAGAGACGAUUGAAGCGAGAGGAUCAACCACGACUGGCGAAGGGCAAAUCAUCAAGUCGAAGAUUGGGAUUUCGAAGAACAUGUCGUCUUCUCCGAUUUUUCUUCUCUUCUCUUGUGAUUUAUUUUCCCGAACCAUGAGUAGCUAAACUUUUCGUGUUGUUCGUAUGAGAUGAAACUUCAGUCAAGCUUUUGUAUGGAUGAUGGAGUUGUAAGCCCUUGAUUUUUUAUCGAGGUUAUUCAGACAUAUGAUGCGUUCUUCCUGAAACCUACAUCUGAUUCAAUUUCGUCUGGCUACCUUGAUUGAAUCAUCGGCAUUGAUUUGUGGGUCCGAGAGGAACAUAGAUUUAUAAGUCGCUUAGGAAGAACCCUAGAUUAUUCGUUAGCUCGAGAGAGGAACGAAUCGUUUAGAAUUUUUGCAUCGUUUAUCGUUGUGACAUUUCAUCGGACACCUUUAGUGCGUUUUGUUUAGGUGUAGAUUAGAUCGAGAGAGGAGUCUAUGGUUAAGUGAAAUAGAUCUUUAGAGGCGUGGGAGUGAUCUAAGACUACCAUAGGAAAUUGCCAAGCCAUCAUAACCUGAAUGUUCGAGAUAACUUGUCGUUCAUCCAUGCAUUGGGUAGCUUUAGUGGAUUCAAAUCCGAAUAGCUUUUAUUCCAUACUUGAAACUCAAUAUCUUGAAUUUGUUUUCCUUUAAUUUUCAUUCCUAGAUAUUAAAUGGUUACUUAAAACAUCCUUCAAAACAAUCAUACACUGUUACUUGGUCUAGUUAAUUAAACGAUUUGAGUAAUAGAAGUAGAAAGACUCUAGGGAAAUUAACGAUCCCAUUAGAGCAAUCUAGUGGAUAUUUGUUAGCGGAUGAAAAUCCGUUCAUCAGAUGUCGCCGUUGCUGUGGGUGUACUCCCCGGAUUAGAGUGGAACCACGUAAAUCCUGAUAUUAUUUACCUUUCAUCUUGUGUUUGGUAAUUUUGUAAAUGUUGUGGUAUAUUACGAUGUUAAAUUAUUGAAGUAAAUUGUUUGCUAAGUUACAAGAGUUAAGAUAACAUGUGAUUGGUCUAAAAUGGAUGUUGCAUCCUGUCCACGUGGUGAUUUUUACGCUCAUAAUUUUUGGAUAUUUACUUGAUAUGAUUUAAUAUUUCAAUAUAUUUACAAGAUUCAUAAACCAACAAAUUUAUCGGUUUAAAGUGACACGGAGAAAGACAAAAAAAAAACAUGGCCGAAUCAAGGAACACAAAUGCAAGGGUUCUUUCCUCAUCCCAUUUCAUACGACAAUUCCUGAGGAAAAUAAAUAAGGAGAAUGAUACAAUGAAAUUCAAACCAAUUCCAUCAAAGAAGAAAAGAAACCAGAGUUAAUCUACAGUUAUGAAUGACGAAGUAAAUCAACAACUGGCCUAGAAGAAAGCUCGGCUUCCAUAAAACACCCUCGAUCCAUCCUUUUUCUUCUUCUGCUGCUGUUGUUGGUGCCCAUUAAUUUCAUCCUCCUGUUUAUGAUCAUUACCACUAUUCCCAUGAAUCGCUUGUAUCAAAUCUCCUCCUCCUCCUCCUCCCCCGGGCUUGUCCAAAUCCAUCGGAAGCUUCAUUUUAGCAAGCGACUCAGUAAACUGCUGCAUACUCCUCAUGUACAUAUCCACUAUCUGCUGCUGCAUAGCCGAUUCCUCCGCCUCCGAAUUCAUCUUCGGAAUCACCGGCGGCAGAGUAGUCGCCGCUAUGAUUUCGCCGUACUUACCGUUUCCCUCUUCUUUCCUCCUGUCUUUCUCGUCUCUGAUUACGCUCCCUUUCCUCGACGUCGGAGUGUCCGGACACCCGCCGGACGAAGAUGACGAGCUCUGAUUGCAUUCACCGGAAACAGAGACGUUCAAGGAGGUGGUGGACGGCGACGAUUGCCAGCUCUUCUUCCUCUCGUCGCUGAAGCUUGUAGUAGUGGAGGAGCUAAUGAACCCGGAUGAUGUCCUGAAGCUUCCGCCGGGAGAAACUGAACCACUACCGCAAUCGGCGGGGAGAGGAGGAAGAUUUCCUAAAUGGAGGAAGGAACCGAGUUUCCGAUCGAAAUACUCAGAAACCAUUUGCUGAUUCUGCUGGAUGACGUUGAAAUCGGGAAAUUCGAUUCUAGAAUACUCCACGGGGUCCAUCUUCCUAUGAUCGAGCAGAACUACCUCGGACGAAAUCGAGGAAUUAACGGUGGCGGAGGAAGGAAGAGAUAACGUUAACGGCGUUAAACAGAGGGUCAACUUAACGGUUCCGGCAGGGGAAUGGAAGAGAUCAGUAGAGGAGAGUGUAUAAUCUCGCGAGACUUCCCCUUUCCCGAUCACCUGAGAAACAGGGACGAGAGCGAAUCCGAGGAGCUGAUCCUCCAUCAAGUUUCUAGCCCUGCUGAACAUCCAGAUCUCGCAUUUAACGACAGCGUCGAGGACUUGGGAGACUUUGACGGCGAUCUUCUCGUUGAAUUCCGGGUUCCUCCCGCCGCCGGUGUCGAUCCGGGGGGAUACGGGGUCGCCCGGGCCCAUUCGGGUCGGGUUGUAAGGAUCCAUGAAGUAUUGGAAGAAGAAGUAAAAGAGUGGUUUGGUUGGUAGGUGCAGGCGAGGCAGGGGGAAGAAGAAGAAGACGACGACUUUUUGGUGUAUCGUGUGGAAGAGCUUUUGGGUUUGCUUUGUUUUUUUGUUUAAGUAUGACAAUGACGAGCUACGGAGAAUGAAGUCAAAGAAUGAAAACUGAUGAAUAACAAGGAGAUGAUGAUGAUGAUGAUGAUGAUGAUAGCUAUGUAAUGUUCUUCUUGGGCGAUGAUGGCAUUUUAUUCUUUUUUUCCCACCAAUGUAAAGCUUACUGCUGAUACAAGACCAAAUUUGGAGUUAGAGGUACUGUUGGAUUUGAUUUAAAUAACUUUCGUAAAUCUCAAUCGUCUAAAAAUUAUAUUUUAGAUACGGUAGUAAAUAUAAAGCAAAAUUAACAUUUUACAUCCAUAUAAAUGUGUAUUUUAAGUAUUACACUAAGUAUUAUACUAAAUAGUAUUACACUUUGUUAAAAGCAAUACAAGUGUGUAUACACUUCUGUAUGAAUUUGUACAAAUAUAUACACAUUUGUGUGAUCUGUACAACUCUCCAUACUAAGUUGUAUAGUCAGUCAACGAAAAAUAUUUCUAGAAAAAUAAAUUUUUUUCUUAGAAAUGUAAUGCCGAAGACGGUGAUCAGGUAUGUGCAAAUUAUUUCGUCAAUGGUGGUCGGAAUCUCUAGGAAAUUGAACGGGGAACUUUUUGGUUACUGGAGAUAGGCCUGAGAUCCGGUCGGGGCCCGGGUUUGAACGGUCAGAUUACGGGUUAGAUCACAAUACCCAAACCCGAAAUUUCCAAUCCUAACUGGAGAUAGUGGUCCGACGAUCGAAAAUGGCAGAAUUCUGAUCCAACAAAAAUAUUUAAAAAAAAUAUGACUAUAUUGUUUCGGGUUAAUCUUGACCUUUAGAUCAGGUGGAAAUCCAAAAUCGAACAUUGCUCCCAAAAAUUGGACUCGUUUUUAUAGGUGGAUUUUGAAGGAGAUUUCUAGCUAUGUCUUAUGGAGUUAAUUACAAUUGAAGUUGAAUCAUAAGUUCAUCUCAUUUCCCAUUCACAAAUAAGUAUAUAAGCCAUGAAUUAGUGAAUAGGGAGUGAGAGGAUACUGAAACAAUGAGUUAGUUGUUCAUGAUAUGGUUUGCCAUUGAGAUUUGUUGUGUUUCAGAAUUUGGGUUUGAGAGAAUACUUAGUGGUGGGGAAGAGCAACGGCAAGUUUGAAUGGUGAGUGAGGAUGGGACUUUUGGGUGAAGAAAAUAUGUGGGGAUUGCUUUGCUUGACAAUGCAGGCUUCCAUCGGCUACUGUACUCCACCACCACAGACCACAAUCUUGGCUUUCAAUUUCAUCCACCCCCUUCCCACAAAGAUGAUUCCCUCCCAAAUUAAAAGCAUUUCAUACAUAGCCAACUCCUCAAUCAUGAUUAAUCAAUGUUACCUAGCUAGGUCCCCUUUUUUCAUUUUGCAUGUUUCAACACUAUUCCCAUUACAAUGUAUUUUUCUUCUUACAUUACAAUAUUUACAUAUGUUGCUUUUUUAACUAUAUAUACAUAAUGUUUUUUUCCCGAGUAGAACCUGACUCUCAGUCAAUACAAAAUAGAAGACAAGGAAUUAACAGAUGUUCAGUUUUUUGAAGUAUACUGAAUUUGAACAUGGGACCUCCAUAUAACCAAAUACAUGCUCUACCACCGGAGCAAUUCCACUUAGACUAAUACCUAGAAUGUUGAACUUCUUAAAACUUAAAACCACUAUGACAACAGACUAUGUCCAAAUAUAAGGCGAACAUUUCAAUACCGUAGGUAGCAAUAUCCAUNNNNNNNNNNNNNNNNNNNNNNNNNNNNNNNNNNNNNNNNNNNNNNNNNNNNNNNNNNNNNNNNNNNNNNNNNNNNNNNNNNNNNNNNNNNNNNNNNNNNNNNNNNNNNNNNNNNNNNNNNNNNAACAUAAAAUAUGACAAAAUAUAAUAUAAAAGGUACUAAUGAAAUUAAAGGAACAACUCAUUUUCAUUAAUUUUUUACAAUAUUUUUUUAAAUGCAUAAAUCAAAGUAACAAAUACAAUGUCGUUGUUGGGUAAACUGAGGGGUUGUCUGUUGUCAACUCAGGUAAGACCGGUGAUGUCAUCACAUAGGUAUCAAAAUAAUUUUACAUUUCGAAUUUUAAACCCAAAAUGUCUAUAAACAAAGUCAAGUGUUACAAUCACACGAUUACAACCUAUUUGGCUACACAUUCAACAUUUUGGUAUAGAUAGAGUACAUUUCAAUUAUUGAUAUCAUGUUGUUAUUGACUCCAUAAUUUAACGACCAAGAUGGAUAUUAAUCCAACCUUUUAUGGUUCAAUCUUUAUCAUCCAAAUAGACUUGACAAUGAGUCGGAUACGAGACAAAUACCCCCUAUGCGUUGCCUGCUAGUUGUGUUAAUGAGUUUUACCCGUCCCCUACCCAUCAAACUUGAUAGGUAUACAUUUUGUACCAAACCCAUUUUGUGACUAGCUCGAAUAAACCCGUGUCAGUCGGUUAAACCCAUCAAGAAUAAAAAACACAUACUUAAAUCAUUAUCCAACAAAUCUAAAUCCAAAACUAAGAACAUGAACUAAGAAUAACUCAAAAGUAUGAACUAUUUCCCAACAAAUCUAAAUCCAACUCUAAGAAAAUCAACCUAAAAAUCUGGAAAAUCGACCUAGAACAUAGGAAGAUGUAGAUUUAAUAUUAUCAGGACACCCCCUAAGUGUCCUAAUGGUUAGAACAUUAUUAAUAACCAUUAGAUUUAAGCAGCAUAAUCCUACGGAGGUUGAGAAAUCUCGAAAAAAUCAUACAACAAAUGCAAAAACAGAAUGGAUUCACUAACAGAAAAAAAUGUACACCAAGUGGUAAACUGUGAUAAAAACCAACUAAGCAAUCAGCGACCCAAUUGCCUUCUCGAUACAUCGCCGAACUACAAAACACAAAAUCAACACGUAAGACUUUUCUUGCUUCCCCUUUGACUUUUUGAAAGACAAUGAGCAACACGUUGAAAGGUUCUUUGCUUGUGAUGUUGCAUGAUAUCAAGCUCUCUUAGGUCAAGAGGAAAAUGGGUUACGAUGUAGAUUUUUAGAAGAUGAAAGUAACAUUCCAACUUUUUCGAUUAUAUAUUAUCUGCUUUGGCCUUAAGCUCACGUUUAACAUCAGAGGUUUUAUAAAAAUUCCUCAAUUUUACUUUGAAAAUGUGUUUUGUUAGACAAUGUCGAAUUGCUCAUUAUAGUUCAUGGAUCUAUCCCGUAUUUUUUCAAUGUAAGAUUUUCCUAAAGUAUUACAUUAUACUUUCUUGCGGACUCAACUUUCUCAUUGAGAUUUACCCCACCACCGUUCAAGAGGGAUGCAAUAGUUUUACGUACUUCUUUUUUGGUGUAUUAGGGCAUCUUCAUCCCAAAAUUUUAGCAAUUGUUAAAGUCAUAUGGAAGAGUGAGGUGACGCCUAAUUAGCAAUUAUUAGAGAUCCACAAAUUAAAAAAAUUUCUAAUUUAGAAAGUUAAUUAGCAAUGCCACAUCUGCAAAUAGACCACCUUUAAAAAAAAAUAUUUAUGUGAAAUUAUAUUAUGAUAAGAUUUAUAUUAUGAAUGAUGUAUUAUUAUUGGUGGAAAAAUAUUGUUAAGGAAGACAUAAAUGAAUAAAAAUUAUUAAAGAAUUUAGGGAAGCGAGUGGUUAGAAUUUUUAAUUAAGUUAAUUGCUAAAUUUGUUGUUGUGACAAUAUGAGCAUAAUUAAAAUUAUUAAAUAAAUUUUGAGAUAAAUAUGGUUUUAAAUUAGUUGGAUGAUAAUUUUGACACUUGCAUUUUAUAAAUGAUUUACUUCAUGGUUAGUAAGUUGGUUAGGGUGCUGCAUUGCUAAUUCAAUAAUCUCUUUCACUUAUAAGUAAUAACAAUGUUGUAUCAGCUAGAAAUUAAUAAAGGUAUAUGUUGAAAUUUUUUGUUUAAUUCAAUUCAAAAAUAUAUUAUAAAUAUAGUAUGUGAAUCAAUUUAUUUCUAGAUUUUGAAUAUAAAAACAUUCAUUGUACAUAAAUAAUUCAUUCUUAAAUAAAAUAAAUUUCUGGUUCAUCAUUUAAUUCAUUUGAUUCUAAACGGUGAGUAAUAGUGAAGUGCUCUAAAGUCCAUAAACAAACCAAAAAAAUUUUAAAAAAUAAAAUCGCUACCAAACCAAACGAAAUGUUUUGAAUGCAAAAACGGUUUUUCCGGCGACAGUUUCAUUCCAGCAGCAGGCGCUGAUCUCCCUAAAACGUCUGUCAGCUCAGCAAAGCCGCGUCGUCGUCAUCGUCAUCGUCGUCUCUCAAUCACAUCGUUGACAUACCAAGUAAUCAAAUCAAGUAUCUGCUCAGCUCUCGCUUUUUUAUACUUUUUCUCUCUAUCGUCGUCGGUCCCCAACAAACCUCGCCCUACCUACGGUAAAACAAUUCUCCUCCCUAGUAAUUCUCUUCCCCCUCUUCUCCCAUUGAUUCUGCUUCGCGGUCGUCGGUUCAUCAUUUUCCAACUUUCUAUUUUCCUUCAUCUCAUUGGUCAACGGUGGGUAUCAGUAGACUGAUUGCUGUCUGUUUCUCAGAUCCGCAUGUGCAUGUUUAUUUUCGAUUUAUAGUUCCACCUUUCUAAUUCUGUGUGCUGGAUCAGAAUUCUCGCUGCCAUUUUCCUAGUUCUACGUAAUUUGCAACUAUGGUUACUAAAAAUGAUUGCUUUCUCUCUAGUUAUUGAGACCCCAUUUAUUCCUUUCUUCCACCCGAUCCUUACUUUUUUUUGUCUCAAUUUUCUACCAUUUUUUUCUUGCUGCAGUUAGUAGGCGUUUGAUUUCCUCGUUGACCCAGCGAGGAAGGGGCAUACGGUGAUUUUCGUUUACACCAAUUUGUAUUACAAAUUGUGAUUUGGUGUCAAAUUAGGAUUCUUGUAGGGGUUUGGCUCGCGAGGUUUGCUAAAUUGGGGAUUCUUCAGUGUCAAUUGAUGAGUUAAUUCUUAAUUUUUAAUUUUUAAUUGUUUCCCAUGGGGUUCUUUUGAUUUGGGGUUUACAUUUCGGAUCCAGAGGAGGGAAAUGAUUGAGAGGAAAAAAAUGGGGAGGGUGUCACCUUUGCUACUGGUGCUUUUGGCAUUUGGGUUUGCCUUUGCAACCUAUAACUUGUUAACGUUGAUAAUCAACUACAAGACCACCAAUUCAGGAGAUGGAUCAGGUGGUUUUUCUGAUCCCAUAGCUACGAUGCCUCAGAGGGUGAGGAAAUUAGGGAACCCGAAUUUGAAAUACCAUGUGGCGCUUACCGCAACUGAUGCUCCUUAUAGUCAGUGGCAAUGCCGGAUUAUGUACUACUGGUAUAGGAGGAUGAAAGAUGCCCCCGGAUCGGACAUGGGGAAGUUCACACGAGUUUUGCAUUCAGGGAAGGCCGAUAAUCUUAUGGACGAAAUCCCUACUUUCAUUGUUGAUCCUCUGCCAGAGGGUUUGGAUCGGGUAAGUUUCUAAGAUUACUUUCCUGAUGGUCCUCUGUUUAGUUUAUGCAGUGAACUUCUAUUGUAAGGAAUAACUUGAGAUCAAUUUGUCACUUGAAGAUGUAUAAGCGUACUGUAAUACUGUAUGUCUGUAUAUCUGAAUCGAUCUAAAUGCAAAUAAAUUGAAAGUAGUUUGUCAAGUUACUGUCCAUAUUUGAAUCCGUUGUGCACAAGUAGAAUCGAUGCUUAUAUGCAGCAGAUAGUGAAGAGUGUUAGUCUAUUGAAUUUCAUUACCUUUUUCCCAUCUGUUGGCUAUUCCGUUAGGGUUUAAGGCGUUCGGAAUAUUGUUUUGGGAAAUGCAGCUGGAUAUAGUUGCACUUUUGCCUAGUUUGAGGGUUUUUAUGUCUAGGUUAUUCUCGUAGACUCUCUAUUAUCAUCCUAGAAAGGACAAAAGCAUUCAUGCUCAAACUCGUAUGUAAGAGAAAUCCUUGCCCAAAUUGAUGUGGUAUUGCAUUACAUUAGAGUAGAGUGUUCACCAUUUCAGUAGUGUGAAUCUUAAAAUGUUAUUCAGAUCUCAAUUGUUCCAUAGCAAUGGGAUAUUCCAAAGUGGUUGUGCAUCAAUACCUAAUAUAACUACCACCUUCUUGAUCGAUGCAGGGGUAUAUUGUCUUAAACAGACCGUGGGCCUUUGUUCAGUGGCUGGAAAAGGCAACCAUUGAGGAAGAGUGAGUUUAUAAAGUUGCUCUGAUACUUGUUUGCUUUGUCUCAAUGUUUUCUGAAUCUUACCAAGGUUAUACGCAGUUACAUCCUAAUGGCUGAGCCAGAUCACCUAUUUGUUAAUCCGUUGCCUAACCUGUCACAUGGAAGCAAUCCAGCAGCAUUUCCCUUCUUCUACAUUAAACCAGCAGAACAUGAGAAUGUAGUCAGAAAGUUUUAUCCCAAGGAGAAGGGUCCAGUCACGGACGUGGAUCCUAUUGGAAAUUCUCCCGUGAUUAUUAAGAAGGUAAAGUUUUGUUGGUAUUGUUGUCUGUUAUUCAAUUAGUACUGCCCAAUUUGGUAUGAGUUUUCAAUUAGCAAUGUGAACCAGCUGCACAAUGUAAAUGUAUGUGAACAUCUCUUAUUAUAUCAUCUCAUUCAAUCAACUGACUUAAACCAUCAAUAUUCAGACCAUCCUGGAGGAAAUUUCACCAACAUGGGUCAAUGUAUCAUUGAGGAUGAAAGAUGACCCAGAGACAGAUAAAGCAUUCGGUUGGGUGCUAGAAAUGUAAGUGAAAGUGAAGAACAUCUAUCCUUACUGAUCGAUCUCAAUUUCCUGAAAUGUCUUUCAAGUUUUGCUGACAUCUUUCUGUGGAACUCAGGUAUGCUUAUGCUGUAGCGUCAGCGUUACAUGGUGUUCAUCAUAUACUUCGAAAAGACUUCAUGAUACAGGUAUCUCCUUUAUAUAUAUAUAUAUAUAAUAAAACCAGCUGUUUUUACUCGGUUAAUGUUCUCAAUUGGUUGGUUGGUUACUUACAUUAACUACUUGUUAUGUUUCAGCCACCAUGGGAUUUGAAAGUUGGGAAGACCUUCAUAAUUCAUUAUACUUACGGUUGCGACUACAACUUAAAGGUACAUCGCGAAUUCACGUCUUGCAUCGUUUUUGUUGUUCGAAUCAUCACUGUGACUUUUAGCUUUAUUGUUAAACGAGUGAGUUUUUGAAAUGGGUCAGGGAGAAUUAACUUAUGGGAAGAUUGGGGAAUGGCGUUUUGACAAAAGAUCCUAUCUUAGUGGUCCUCCACCAAGGAAUCUCUCAUUGCCUCCACCAGGAGUUCCAGAAAGUGUGGUAUGCCCAAUAAUGCUUCUUCUGCAAUCAGCUGUUUUACACAAACGCCUCCCUGUCAAUAAAUGGACAUUUUCCUCGUGAAUUUUCUGCAGGUGAGAUUGGUAAAAAUGGUAAACGAAGCGACGGCGAAUAUACCAGGUUGGGAGAGGUGAAGUGUAUUUGAUGGAUCACAUGGUGAAAAGAUUGUGUCAGCGUCCACCAAAGACAAGAUAUUGAUGACAUUGUACACACAGUGACAAAAAGGUGGUACAGAUAGAUGAAAAGAUAGAUAAGAGCAUGUUUACAAGCUAUGGAUAGAAUGUUUGGUAUAUCAAUCAGUGCACUAAUUGUAGAGGACCCCCCAGAAUUCUUUGUUUGGACAUGUAGAUUGAGAUAUUAAUGUCAUUUUGUGAAGAUAUCAGCCAAUCCAUGGUAGGGUUUGAGUAACUUUGUUUGCAUUUUCUGCUGCAGACAUCUUGCAAAUAAAUUGUCCCCUUAACUCAUGUUUCCUGAAACCCUGUUUUUAGCGGAUCUGCAGAAUCAGGAGGGGACGAACCUGGACUACCGACGCCCCCUAUGGUCAUCCGGUUUCAAAAGAAAUUUUUGUAAAAUUGAAGUUUUCGCCCAGUGUAUUUCAAAUUUCGCCUAGGGUCUGUUAACUGUCCUAAUUCCCCUAUUGAGUGGAUCCAUAUGACAUUAGUAACGAUUUUGUUUUUACUCAAAUAGGAUUUGUUCAGUUGUGCAGCACCGUACCUUUGUUGCCUUAUGAACUAACGAUGCAGGAACUCAAAUCUGGUAGCCAGACAGAAUUGCAGAACGGAACAAUAUUGUUCCAAUGCUCUGCAAGUCUGUUUAUGGAUUUAGAGAAGGAAUGUGUAUGUACACAAUCAAAAUAACCCUUCUUUUCUAUUUUCAUGAGUAAAUUUGUAAUGUAGUAGUUUUUUAUGAUUUUCAUCCGAAGUUUCUGCUGCUACUGACAGACUGAUGAAUAAAUAAUACACUUAUAUAUGAAAUGCCGUGUGAUGAUGCUAUUUGCUUUUCAAUCAAGGGUAAUUGUUGCUGGUGGGAGCUGGUCUUGUAGUUAAGGAAGGCUUCAUCUGAACAAUUUGUUCGUCAUCGACGCCCAUCUUCUUAGCGAAAAGACCAGCCUGAAAGAAGCCUUUAACAGCAUCUUCCAUGUAAGCAGUGCCUUGCUUCACAGUCAUUUUUUUCCCAAUCUGAUUGGGGUAACUGGAAAGAAGGUUGUCCCCCUUUAGAACAGCGGCUAGCUGCAGCAUUUCCUGCUGGAAUUCGCUGAGGUUUGCUUCUUCGUUUGCCUCGCCUUGCCUGAUCUUCAUUGGUGUAGGCAGUUGCUCUGUCCAGUGAUCAAAAUAGUAAAUUGUUUGUUUCUUAUAGUAUGAUGAUUUAGGGAAGAAAGGUUAAAUGAAUUUACCUGGGCAAUCAGUUCUGGGUUGAGUUCUGGAUUGGAGAAUGGAUUCAAAGGUUCCAGCCCAUUGGUCUCUUCGAGUGAGGAAAGAUGGCAAGUUGAAUAUCUUCUUGACGGUGGCCGGAAUUGAGGAGUGUUCAUACUCCGAAGUCGGAGUUGGUUGACCUUUUGGCCCAUGUACAACUGCAAUAUAUAUAUUCACAUGGGGUGCCUUAAUUAUUAUAUAUAUCCUCUUAAUUGGCGGGUGGAUUGUCCACCUAGCAUCCGCCCUACCUAACUCAAUCACAGUAUAUCUAUGAAUCAUUUUCACACCAAUACUAGCUUAGCUUACCGGUGGCCUUAUUGAUCCAAGGGGAGACAACAAUGGUGGGGACUCUGACUCCAAGUCGAUUAAAAGUAAAGUUGAAUGGCUCCGGACCCACUAUCCCGUCGGGGCUUGGUACUCCUUCAACAGGUGUGGAUACGUGAUCGUAAAAUCCGCCAUGCUCGUCGUAUGUUAUUAUCAGCAUCGUCUCGUUCCAUUGCGGGCUUGCCCUUAACGUCUCAUACACCUGAAUUUCACAAAAGUUUAUGAUUUUGGAUAAAAUAAUAUUUGUUUGAACUAUAAAUAUGCUUUUUUUUUCUCACCCAUUAAAUAAAAAAUUCUAAUACAUAGAUUUUUAAAAAUAGCAUUAAACAGAACAACAUGCAUAUUCGUUUUUAUAAGAAAAUAUCAUUAUUUCCCGUAACUAAGAAAGUCAACUCUUUAAAUAUUCUUUUUCCCAAGAUUGAAUCUGAAAUAAUUAAUACAAGCUGUAUAAGCAAAAGUCGGUACCUCUUUGACGAACAUCUGGCCGUUGUAGACGUCGUGGGAAGGGUGGUCGUCGUUGGCCGGAGCGAUUUUCAUGUCGGUGUAGCGCUGCUCCACCACCACGUAAUUAGGGAGCUUCCCUUGCUUGGCGUGGCUCUUGAACAUCAAGUCGUACGGCCGGAAAUUCGUCACGUACUUGAUCUUCCUCAAGUUCCGGUAGAACAGAGUCGCCGGAAUAUUCUGAUAGUAGAUUCCCCACUUCAGCCCGGCGUCGUCUAUGUUCUCGAAUAUGGUCCUCUGCGGGUAUCCCUUCACCAGUAGCGCCGGAAUGUUGCUCGUGGCCCCGUUUGAGGUCCCCGAGUGCACGUACAGCCGGUUCGGCUGCGUCGACGCAGGCACCGACGCAAACCCCCCACGCAAAUAUUCCACGGGUUGCANNNNNNNNNNNNNNNNNNNNNNNNNNNNNNNNNNNNNNNNNNNNNNNNNNNNNNNNNNNNNNNNNNNNNNNNNNNNNNNNNNNNNNNNNNNNNNNNNNNNNNNNNNNNNNNNNNNNNNNNNNNNNNNNNNNNNNNNNNNNNNNNNNNNNNNNNNNNNNNNNNNNNNNNNNNNNNNNNNNNNNNNNNNNNNNNNNNNNNNNNNNNNNNNNNNNNNNNNNNNNNNNNNNNNNNNNNNNNNNNNNNNNNNNNNNNNNNNNNNNNNNNNNNNNNNNNNNNNNNNNNNNNNNNNNNNNNNNNNNNNNNNNNNNNNNNNNNNNNNNNNNNNNNNNNNNNNNNNNNNNNNNNNNNNNNNNNNNNNNNNNNNNNNNNNNNNNNNNNNNNNNNNNNNNNNNNNNNNNNNNNNNNNNNNNNNNNNNNNNNNNNNNNNNNNNNNNNNNNNNNNNNNNNNNNNNNNNNNNNNNNNNNNNNNNNNNNNNNNNNNNNNNNNNNNNNNNNNNNNNNNNNNNNNNNNNNNNNNNNNNNNNNNNNNNNNNNNNNNNNNNNNNNNNNNNNNNNNNNNNNNNNGUUGCGUGUUCCCCUGCGCAGCUGGCGCCGGAAUGUUGCUCGUGCCCCCGUUUGAGGCCCCGGAGUGCACGUACAGCCGGUUCGGCUGCGUCGACGCAGGCACCGACGCAAACCACCUAUGCAAAUAUUCCAUGGGUUGCAUAGCUGAUUAGCUAGUUACGGAAUGUAUAACAUUAGGAAAUCAUUUAUUCUAAUCAUUUAUAUUUUCACAUUGAUUAUCAAUUAUUCAUACAUAUUUAUUAUUAUUCAUGUACAUUCAUCAUUUAUUCACGUUGGAUUAUAAAUACUAUUUUUAAAAAAGAAAUAUAAAUACUAUCUUUGUUUCUGUACACAGUUCAAAAACUGAAUUGUGCAAGAAAUUCGAUAAUAAAUUAAGAGAGGAAAAUGAUGACAAGGCGUUUAAAGCUCUAUAAAUUAAGAAUUUAAUGUGACUUCUGAACAAGGGAAAACGUAAUCAGAUCCUAAUGCAUGACAAUUAUUUAUGGAUUGCGAUAUUUUAUAGUGCACAACAAUACGCUUGAAUGCAUGCAUGAACUGUAAUUCAAAACUAACUGUAAGUCUGUAAGAAAUCAUAGGAUUUUUUUAGGGAAAAAGAAAUCAUAGGACUGGUUUGGCACGUAUAAAAUAGAUGAANNNNNNNNNNNNNNNNNNNNNNNNNNNNNNNNNNNNNNNNNNNNNNNNNNNNNNNNNNNNNNNNNNNNNNNNNNNNNNNNNNNNNNNNNNNNNNNNNNNNNNNNNNNNNNNNNNNNNNNNNNNNNNNNNNNNNNNNNNNNNNNNNNNNNNNNNNNNNNNNNNNNNNNNNNNNNNNNNNNNNNNNNNNNNNNNNNNNNNNNNNNNNNNNNNNNNNNNNNNNNNNNNNNNNNNNNNNNNNNNNNNNNNNNNNNNNNUGAGAGUUUUCAAAUUGUGAUUCAUCUACCUAUUUAAAAUUCAAAUACUAUCUUUACUUUUGUAAUAUUUACCAUUAAUAUUUAUCAAAUAAAGAAUAAUCUAAUAAUUAAACCAAAAAUAAUAUAUUUCUACUCAAAAUUCAGCAUAAAUAAAUAGCUUCUAAAUAGAUGUUUUAAAAAACAAAAAUUUCUUUAAAUAUGCAGUUUCACUGGAAGGAAUUACCGAUUCCCAAAACAGAAGAAUCAAACGUGGCCAUGGAGAUAAUUUCUCAAAUUCCCUUUUACUCACAAGUCAAAAGGUAAUUGAGAAACUUGGAAGGCUAUAGUUUCGGAAUUAAUCAUAAAAUUAAAAUUCUAAUGAUGUGAUUGGUCUUCUCCCAUUGGAUUCCCUUAUCCCAUUUCCUGUUUAUUCAUAGUUUCACACUUUCCACUUCACUACUUUAAUAAUUAUUGAAAAGAUGAAUUUUCCAUCCUCUGCCCCCGAGUAAAAACAGAGUAUCCUCAGCAAUCCCCAAAACCAAGAACAAAAUAUGGAAUUAAAUCAAUCAGGAAAUUAACAUUAAUGAAAAACCUGUCAAAGACGGCGAAUUCAGAAACGAGAGCCUUGUAAACGGCGACGGAAUCAGGGUGGAAGCCAUUCAUGACGUCUCUGGACAUGUUGGCAGAAGGGUCCAUGGAGAGAGCAUUCUGGGCGAACCCAUUCAUCGGCGGGGGAUCUUUAGAAGUAUCAUUCGACCCGAAUAUCUGCUCCCUGAUUGCCUGGAAUGAGUGACCCGGAUCCGGAUCCACGUAAUGGGCCUGGUCCUGGAAGUAUACUUUACCGGAGUUUGGAUCGGAUGUGUUUAGCGGGUUCCACUGGGUGCCGUCGACGCCGUUGAUUUCCGGGUUGAGCUUCUUCAUCCAGCCUAGCAUGUGGUCGAAGGAGCGAUUCUCCAUCACUAAUACGACGACGGUCUUGAUUGGGCUGUUUUUGUUGCUUGAGACUGCCUGGAUGUGGUGGACGACAUUGUUUGAGAGCAAAAGGAGGAGGAAGGUGAAGAGGGAGGCGGCGGCGCCGGAGAAAGAUCGGCGGUGGAGCAUUUUUGAGUGAGUGGAUUGAGACUUUUGGGGAUAUCUGUCUGAGCGCUACUGCUGCUGCAUAGUUUCUUGGUUUUUAUAGCCGCUAAUUUAUUUCUGUUUCUGCCACCCUCACACUCAGACUGAGAUAUUUAUUAUUUGUGGUGAAUUAAAGGGGUAACUUAAUCACUGAACAGAUACUACCGACCCUGGGGAGCCCUUAUGGUGAGAAACCGUCAAGAUAUCUGAGGUCCCCAAAUGCAUUUUCAACCAUUAGAUGGCCUUUAUUAGAUCUGAUGGUAUAUAUGAAAUAAUAACUGAAAAGGAUAAAAUUGUCCAAUUCAAAAAUAAUAACUUUUUUUUCCUGUUUUUCUCUUACGGUUUGUUGUCUUUCUAUUGAUAAGAGAUGGAUUUGGAGAUUGUAGAACGGGAGGAUGUCAAACCCUAGCAGCUUCGUCGAACCUUAGUUAUCGCUGCCGCCUGCCGUCCCUGCCAAUCUUGAUAGCUAGUUAGCGUUGCCUUCCUCUUGUAUAAAAGUAUGUUUUUAUUUUCUCGCUUGAAAGUCGCUUCUCCAUUCUAAAUCAAACCCCCACACAACUACCCUAAUGGCCUCUAACAAUACCGCCGCUGCCAACAAUACCGUCGCCGCCGUCGGCACCAAUGCUUCCGCAACAAGCGCUGCCGCAGCUGCAAUCCCAAGAGGACGAGCUGCUAAUGCUAGAUUCCACCUGCCAGCCGCCGUUGCUGCAUGAGUUGCCGCAAUAUCGCUCGACGAACAACCGGAGCCGGAACUUUCAUUGGCCGGCCUCAUCAUCACUCCGCCGGAAUGGAAUUAUCAAUGGUGCAUCGUAGGUGAGUUCCUUACUCGCUGGGAAAUCAAUUUUCCUAAGAUGUGCCGCAUGUUAUUUGGGAUCUGGUAACCGGGACGAGGUGUCGAAAUCGAUGCUCUUGAAGACCGAAAAAUUCUGUUUCGAUUUCAUCAUGACAUGGAUGUGGACCGCGUGAUGAAUGAUGGUCCUUGAGCUUCGACCAGCAGCAACUCGUCGUCUACAAGCUUCGGCCAGGACAGAUACCGCAACACGCCGACCUCACAAAGGUCGCCGUCUGGGUCCAUGUGCACGAGUGACCGUUUCGGUACCUCUUCGAAGCGGUGGGUAGAGCCAUUGGCGAUUUCGUUGGAGAGUUUGAUCGCUAUGACCUGAAAAAUGUCAUAGCCUUUGCGAAACCAUAUAUGUGAAUCUGAGUUUGGUUGGAUGUUCGAAAACUCCUCAAGCGAGAGAAGUUAGUACGCCUUCUCAGAAACACUCGGUUGUUUGCAAAUUUAGGUAUGAACGGUUUCAACACUUCUGUUUUAUCUGUGGUAUCUUGGGACAUGUUGAUAAGCAGUGCAAGAUUCACUUCCGACUCCCAAAAUAGCAAAUAAUUAGCCGGUGGGAUGACUCAAUAAGAGCUGGUAAUCGACCACCGGAAAAUCAGUACCUCAUCACUCGUGCGGCCGCCUCCUCCAUGAUGCCACAACAAGCUCGACCUCAACCCCUCGCAAUAUGCAUGGCUGCUAAUAUACUGGAUGAAGAUAAGCAUAUUGAUAUUGAGACAGACAAUGGAGAAACAGAAACACAGGAGCUACUGAUUCGGGAUGAGAAGAAGCGUAGGCUUCAGGAAAAUAUAAGAUGUAUACGGAAGAACACUUGGAUCAGAUGCCUUCUAAGUCACCGAAGAAGUUAGUGCACCAAAAAUCACAGGCUAUGGCGAAUCAUCUGGAGGUGAUUCGCCAUCGGGAGUAAUCACUUGGUAUGAAUCUGCUGAGGAGUCGGAUCACUGCAGCAGUUUCUUAUCGUUUGCAUUACUUUAGUAGGUUUUAAUUUCUUAGCUCGAGGUUUGGUUGUUUUGUUUAGUUCUAGUCGUUUUCUGGAUUUUUAUGUAAUGUCCGUUAGGAGAGUAAGGACCGAGCCUAUGAUCCAUAUAGUCCCAUUUUGUGGGAUUGCAUCUCCGGAUGGCUUGUUCCUCAACUUCUUUCUCGAUUUCGACCAUAUGAAAUGAUCAACGUUUAAGAAAAGAAAAAGAGAAAAAGGAUUUGUUUAAACUGAGCAGAAUGAGACCUAACUGACUCGAAUGAUAAAUUUAGCUUAAAAUGUUUUGGGAAUCCGACAAAGAUACUCCCUUCGAACAUUACAAGAAACAUCAGAAUAAGAAGACAAAUGACGGAAAUGUUAUAAAUUCAAGGAUUGGUUUUAAAGAUGUCUACUUAUAUAAUGGUACGUAGUUAGGGCUUUUGUUAAAUCUUUUUUAGUUAUGUUUUUUUAAUUUCUUGCCAUCUCCUUGCCGAUGCGAGCAUCUGAUGACUUUUUCGUCGAGAUUUUGAUAACUUUGCGGGUUAGUUUGCAACAAGUUAUAAAUUGUAAUCAUAAGUAACUUGUUACACGUAAUACAAAUAAUUGGUUAUAAUCAUUUGUAAUUAGUUGGAUGACUUAAAAUCAGUUAUAAUCGUUUGUAACUAGUUACAAAAUUUUGGGAACAGGAUUAAUAAAAUGAAACCCCAUACUAAUACUAUGACCCAGAUGGGCUAGACGAUCGGCAACAGAGUUGCCUUCUUCCAAUCCCUAUCGAGAAGCCGUCGGACUUCCUCGAUGCAAGUGGGAUGGCGGAGGUUGGGCUCGUUCUGACUUUGUAAGCACGAGACAGCUGUCUUAGAGUCCAGUUGCAGAUUAAUGGAUCCAUAUCCAAGAUUCCAAGCAGCUCGGAGACCAUAGAAGGCUCCCAUGAUCUCCGCUCUUGUUAUCGUACAUUGGUCUAAAUUUACAGCAAAAGCAGCCAAGCAUUGCCCAUGGUUGUCCCUAAAAACUCCACCCGCCGUAGCAUGUUUUGAAUCACUUAGCACUGAUCCAUCGGUGUUAAUGGUAAUACCAUUCCCCCGGACCCGGUUCCCAAGAUACCAGACGGUCUUCCCGGAUGCUAGCAUUCUCUGGACUCACAGACUUUCUAGCUUUCAUUGUCUCCCGAACCCCGACGAUCCAACGAAGGACUUGUAGGCGGAGCUGAGCACCAGAAAGCACUGUUUUCCCAAAGAUCGCUUCAUUCCGAACUUUCCAUAACAUCCAGAUAAUAAUUCCAAAGUCUAAUCCAUAUCCUUGGUGAGAAAUGCCACUAAGAAGCCAUUCUUGCAAGCCUGUGGAGUAAAAAUCAUUACGUUCUUGGUUCCCCAAGAUCCACUGCCAAAUGAAACAAGCAUUGGAACAGUCACGCAUGACAUGUAGGGUCGAUUCCGAAAGAAGUCCACAAGCAGCACAAAUAUUAGACGAGAUAAGAUGGCGGCCGUGCCUUUCAACGUUGGUGAGAAGCCGAUCUUGAAAGACCAACCAAAUAAAAUGCAUGAUUCAACUCGGUCCCUUCCAUUUCCAAAUAAUUUUUCACUCAUUCUGAUUAUUAGCUUUGCCAAUCCCUGCAACUAAAUUGUAAGCACUUUUACUGGAGAAUUUCCCCUUAUCAUCCAAUUCCCAGAUGAGACCAAUCAGCCUCAUCGCUCAUGGGUGCAGUCAUCCCCCACCAUGUUCCUAGCUACUGGUGGUAAAAAACUUCCAAUUUUCGCCCAAUCCCACUCUCCCUCUAUAGUAACCACAUCCCGAACCGUCCAUCCUAAAGCAUUUGUGACGUCUGAUGGAUUAAUUAUGCGGUGAUAAAUUUUAUUCGUCCACUUUAUCUUCUCUAGGCCAACCCUUUGAAGUUAGUUUUGAAAUUUCAGUUUCAAAAUAUUCUAUUCUUUCGUAUGGAUAUGGUUAGAAUGGUGUGUUAUUUUUUUUACAGCAAGCAUAAUCGCUUUAUUGAUGAAAUAUUUGUCGUAGUUCACUCUCGAUGCCCCGUUUAACCGCUGACGAUUUUUCAUUCAGCGCACAGCUCGCACAUUCAGUUGUUCAUAUGGGCAAGAAGCCUAUUUGGCAGGCCGCAUUAUUCAAUACAAUGGACAAAUAUACGGAAAGCUUGACGAGGAGGCUGUUUGAAACGUUUAUCAACAUACAUGGAGCUCGAUCGGUUAAAAUAUCUUAAAAAAGUUAAUAAAAAAGAAUGAUUCAUAAAGAAGUUAAUGGUGUUUACAAUUAUCAAUCGGAAUUAUGUAGAGACGGUCCGUGCAUUUCCAGUUGAGUGAGACGGUUGGAUACAAUCCAGAAUACACGUCUCCGUAAAAUCCACAAUGCAACUCCUUGGAAUUUAAGGGGAUUAAUUAGUCGUAAAUUUUAAAUUUUGGUAUCUUAAUGAUUAAUAAUUGAAGAUCUGAUACUAGGAAUAUUCCAAUGCUGUAUAAAGAUCGAAAUGGAUGAUGAUACGGUACGAUAAUGACAUUGCACCUUUGAGUUUGCGUCUCCCGUUGAAGUUUUUUAAUUUGGCUAAACAACUGAGAGAUAAAUUUAUAGGAUGCAUUAUAUGGACUGAUCUGACGGCUCAAAUUUAGUUUCGUAUUAAUUUGAUAAAUGGUUGAGACUACAUAAGGGUAGAAGAGGAAAUGUAUUGGAUAAAUAUUUUAAANNNNNNNNNNNNNNNNNNNNNNNNNNNNNNNNNNNNNNNNNNNNNNNNNNNNNNNNNNNNNNNNNNNNNNNNNNNNNNNNNNNNNNNNNNNNNNNNNNNNNNNNNNNNNNNNNNNNNNNNNNNNNNNNNNNNNNNNNNNNNNNNNNNNNNNNNNNNNNNNUGGCAUAAAAUUUUCGUAAACCAAACCAAAAAUAUGCAUAACAAACUCAUAAAGUAGACAUAACAAAGGCAUAAAAGAAUCUUAACAGUAAUGAUAUUUCGGUUACUUAACAUACCAAAGUUCGAUUUCAAUUUUUCUUAAAAGUUAAAAAAAUAUCAAAAUUAGUCUUGUUGGACUCAUAAAAUUAAAAUAAAUAACAUUCGGGAAGUAAAAUUAUAUUUUGAGCGUUGUAUAAUUAGCUAUAAUGAUUUAAAUCAAAAUUAGAGAAAAAACAAAAAAGAGAGAGUGUAUUUGAAAGAACAAUGAAAAAAUAAAAAUAAAAAUAAAAAUCAUUUUAUUUUGAGUUUUUUUGAAUACUGAGAUUACCCUUAAUGAAUAUCAAUGGCUAGAUUUAAUAUGGNNNNNNNNNNNNNNNNNNNNNNNNNNNNNNNNNNNNNNNNNNNNNNNNNNNNNNNNNNNNNNNNNNNAGCCGGGUUGGAAGUUGAAUACUAGGUUAUAUAAAAACUACUUUCUAGAAUCCUUUAUCCCAUUUCUAAAAAAACUUAGGAUGACGGCUUGCAUAAGCGAGUAAGGAUGAGGAGGGGGAAGAACGAAACUCGAACGAAGUGAUCUAUCCCUCUAAACCCAAUUGGUCAAGCUCUUUUUUGCGAUGAAACCAAAGGAGACUAGAAGUGGCAUAUCUCUCUAAAAUCGUUCCCGUCAUAAUUUGAAGAGCGAGGUAUCUGCAAUGGCAAGGAGGCCCUUCCAAGAGACACAAACCCAAACUCCUCAAUUAACUCUAUAAAAAGUCAGUCAUCGAGCAAAUAAUUGAAUCAGGUCAGAAACAAUCCAUCCAUUAGAACGAGAUCAAAUGGAUUGGCAAGUAUCAUGUCUUAAGCUCUCCGACACAUUGUGUUACUUUCAAAAUGAACCAACCAGUACCCCAACUUUGUGACAAACUUGAAUACUAGGUUAUAUAAAAACUACUUUCUAGUGUUAGCCUAUUGGUCACACACACAAAGCAAGCAACCAGUAACCCUAAAAACAGUGAGCAAAUUAAAAAGUAAACAGCAGUAAAUGAAUACCAAAUAUUUAUUAUCUAACUAUAUAAAGUGCAAACCAAUUUAAGUAUUAUUGUGAAUCGGUUGCACUGUUCAUUCACACACGGAACACUGUUCAUUAGUGGAUUCAUUGUUGCAAAGUUGAGUCUUCCGGAAUUGUUGGUGUGGAAAAUAUAAAGAGAAAAUUAAAAAAACCCAGCAUCCUGCAUGUAGCAGGUCAUUCCCGCGUUGUCUCAAUGUUGGCCGGUUGGUGUGAUGUUGAUUUUACCCUUUAUGCCCCUUAACCGUUACCGUCGGUUUACCCUCUUUAUCCACGGAUGCUGCAGUGAGAUUCGAUUGCUCUAGGAUUCCUGUCACGCCGACAUGCUAAAUAGCUUCAUCCGCUAUGCUUGGUCUCUUCAAUCGCCUCGUAUGUUUCUCCUCACCUUUUCAGUCUCCUUUCCAUGGCCAUUUCUGCACCUUCUUUCUUCAAUUUCUCUACCAGUCCUUCCCAUCCCCAUAUCUGCACCUUCUCCUUAUUUCAAUUUCUCUUUCAGUUAUUCACUCUCUGGAUCUCUUUCUUGGUUGCACCAUGCUCAUCCACGACAUCUCCGAGGAAAGUUUGCCGGCCGAACUCCACCUCCGCCUCAACAUGUAUGGAAGCUGUGCUAAUUACAGGCGGUGAUUCAAGACUAUCGUCGCCGUAACCAGUGGCUGCAAAUUAAUGGAAGAAGACGGAGGAGGACUACUCGGAUCCGAUGCCGCAGACCCAGUUCAUCUAACAAAGAAGAAGAAGAAGAAGAAGACGACGACGACGACGGAAGCCAAGAAGUAAAUUCAAUGGAGCUCAGCUUGAUGAUGAUCUUUACUUCGAUUUUCUUUCGGUUUCCCAUUUGAUUUUUCAUUUUUCUUUUCCCCAUUCAACAGAGAGAGUGAUCGAAGAAAAGUGCAAGGGAGAAGAUUGAAGCUCCGAUAAAGGCUGGGGAAUUGAGGUAAAGUACUUUUCUGCAAAUCUCAGCAUACUUGAUCAUGAAUGCAUCUCUCUGUUGUUGUAUUUUUGGGGUCUGCAGUUUUGUGUUGCUGGCUUGCAUGUUGAUGUGUGGAGUUAUUUUCAGUUUGAUAUUCCUUUUGUUGUAGCCAAUUGUGUUGUGUGGGUUUCCAGCUGCAGAGCUGCUUCGGCUAGCCUCCCUCGAACGGAGCUCAAAAUCUUGACUGACUUGCAUGGAAACGAGGUCACUAUUACUAAAUUCUCAUUUUUACUUGAAUGCCAGAAUUCAUUGGAGUCAUUUUUAUGUAAUAUGUGAAUUUCCAGUCAGAGAAAGGAGGACAGUUGACACAUGAUGAGACCACAAUCAUUACUAGAGCUUUGGAUAUGACUUAGGAGACUGAUGAAGAUGCUAUGACAAACAACAUGUAAAUAUCUACUGAAUUCCCUUUUCUAUGAGAACGAUCCUACAUUUGUUUCCUUACUAACACUCAUGUACCACUUUUUUACAACUCAUAGGAAUGUGGUUAGAAGGUCUCCACAGUCUACUUUCCACCAACCAACUUGAGGCUUGAUAAGUUAAUGUAGCAUUUCAGUAAUUGUCUGAUCAUCAGUCUUCGUAGUUUCUUAACCUUUGCCAAAUGGAUUCUAUUCCUUGUGUAUUUUUCUAAUGAGCUAUGGAUUCUUUUAACUGAAUUCAGAUUUAAUGCUGAAUGGCUAAUGGCUACAAGCGAGGAUGGAAAUGAAAAGAAAAAGGCAGCACUAUCACUCACACUACAGAUAAUGAUAUAAUAAACCCCGACUUUGAACAUAGACAAAUGCUAGACAUUGUAAUCAACUGCUAUGUUAGACUCAUUUAGAGGUAACUUUUUAUGUUGAUGUUUAAAGUAAUUGGUUAAUGAAGAAUUCGCAAUUUCCCUUUAAUGACAUGGAUGGGAAGACUGGAGGAUAACAAAA
Molecule: long non-coding RNA, 25929 nt
Filed under: Linum usitatissimum (flax)
Lineage: Eukaryota; Viridiplantae; Streptophyta; Magnoliopsida; Malpighiales; Linaceae
Description: long non-coding RNA (LUSI_LNC007681)
Source: RNAcentral